Molecule: ribosomal RNA, 327 nt
Filed under: uncultured bacterium
Lineage: Bacteria
Description: bacterial SSU rRNA
Rfam family: Bacterial small subunit ribosomal RNA
Source: RNAcentral
GAUUGAACGCUGGCGGCGUGCUUAACACAUGCAAGUCGUGCGGUAACAGGCGUAGCAAUACGUGCUGACGAGCGGCGAACGGGUGCGUAAUACAUGGGAAUCUGCCCUUUAGUGGGGAAUAACCCGGCGAAAGCCGGGCUAAUGCCGCAUAAGAUCUUCGGAUGAAAGCGGGGGAUCGUAAGACCUCGCGCUGAUGGAUGAGCCCAUGCCGGAUUAGCAGUUGGUGAGGUAACGGCUCACCAAGGCGACGAUCCGUAGCUGGUCUGAGAGGACGGCCAGCCACACUGGGACUGAGACACGGCCCAGACUCCUACGGGAGGCAGGCAG